This 328-nucleotide ribosomal RNA is filed under the name uncultured eukaryote. RNAcentral's name for it is "partial 18S ribosomal RNA". It matches the Rfam family "Eukaryotic small subunit ribosomal RNA", at positions 1470 to 1796 of the family's 1831-position model. The record is from RNAcentral.
CCCUUAGAUGUCCUGGGCCGCACGCGCGUUACACUGAUGCAUUCAACGAGCUUAUAACCUUGGCCGAGAGGCCUGGGCAAUCUUGUUAACGUGCAUCGUGAUAGGGAUAGAUUAUUGAAAUUAUUAAUCUUGAACGAGGAAUUCCUAGUAAACGCAGAUCAUCAAUCUGCAUUGAUUACGUCCCUGCCCUUUGUACACACCGCCCGUCGCACCUACCGAUUGGAUGGUCCGGUGAAGCCUCGGGAUUGUGGGUCUUGCCGCUUUAUUGUGGCGUGACCGCGAGAACUUGUCUAAACCUUAUCAUCUAGAGGAAGGUGAAGUCGUAACA